CCCCCGCGGGGGUACCCCCCGGCGGGUUAUCCUCCACAAGGUGGUUAUCCGCCGCAGGCUUACCCGCCUCAGUAUGCGCAGCCACCGCCGCAGAAACAGCAGAGUAGCGGGCCUUCAUUCAUGGAGGGAUGCUUGGCGGCACUGUGUUGCUGCUGCCUCUUGGACGCAUGUUUCUGAGAGAGGAAUCUGAGGCAGACGCUGCGGCGACGGGCCGACUGGAAGAUGAUUUGAUCUCCUGGCGAGGCUUAGAUGCUUUUGGCGUUGUUUGCUGAAGAUUCAAAUGUUCACUUCGUAUAUCUUUUUUCUCAUUGUCUUCUUAAAAUUUCUCCCGGAUCUUGUUUUCUAAUUUUAUGUUCUCUAUUUUGCUUGGGUUUGUGCGCAUUAGAAGAAGAAGACAACGUAGAUGAAUGCCUGUUUCUCAUACUCUGCUCUGUAUUGUGAAUUUUUUUUACCUUUGUAACACCUAGGGUUGAACUCAUUUGUUACUUAAAAGUUGAAAACUUCUGUGAAUUUUGAUUUUUA
This is a long non-coding RNA of Phalaenopsis equestris, 522 nucleotides long. RefSeq lists it as uncharacterized. The transcript is spliced from 2 exons. Lineage: Eukaryota; Viridiplantae; Streptophyta; Magnoliopsida; Asparagales; Orchidaceae. The record is from RefSeq and is a predicted model, not a curated record.